RNAcentral lists this unclassified non-coding RNA (22 nucleotides) under Chlamydomonas reinhardtii. RNAcentral's name for it is "small RNA Cre_3235". The record is from RNAcentral. Lineage: Eukaryota; Viridiplantae; Chlorophyta; Chlorophyceae; Chlamydomonadales; Chlamydomonadaceae.
UGGAGAAAGGUUCCAUGUGAAC